Long non-coding RNA from Numida meleagris (helmeted guineafowl), 764 nucleotides. RefSeq lists it as uncharacterized. The record is from RefSeq and is a predicted model, not a curated record. The transcript is spliced from 5 exons. NCBI's taxonomy places the organism in Eukaryota, Metazoa, Chordata, Aves, Galliformes, Numididae.
UUCAGCUUGGAAGCAGCUGAUGUGAUUCCCCACUCCUGAGCAGCUGCCCCGUGCGCAGCAGUAAUUUACAGCAGCCGCUACUCUAACGAGGAGGAAGUUGCAAUUUGUAGAGCAAUAAAUACCGAGGCGGUGGGAGGAGCCCCAGGCAGAAAAAUCGCCCUCCUUCUCCAAUUAAAACUCCAUCUUGGCUCCACUGCGGACCGUGAGAAGGUCUCAAAGAAAACACGGUGGCCCCGAUAAGAUAUUCUUCUCACUGAGAAGUGCUAUAUGGUCUCCUCUAGAUGAGAUGUCUGACUAGGAAGGACAGGUGCCAAACCAGAGCAGCAGAAGCAGACAGUGUGAAACUCAGUGAUGCUACUGCCAUCUCCAGCUGUCUUCCUCUCAUGCUCCCCCACAUGCAGCUAGCUUGGAUAGUGGUCAAACCACUGCAACAUUCCCAUGCAACUAAGGCCUUAAAAAGGAUUUUAAAGAUAAAUAUCUCAGUUAAAUACUUAAGCUGCAGCCUGAACCCUAUUGAAGUCAUUGAGACAGGAGAGCAUGCUGCCAGUAAGAUACACUCUGAAGUGUCUUUGUGAAUCAGUAGCUUCAUUCUGCUGUAAGGAACAAGCCUCCAUUUCAGUGAGAGUCAUCUUGGAUCAUGGUGCCUUCUUAUAGAUCUCUGCCAGCUACAAAGCCUCCAAGGGAGAGCACAGUGCUAUAAAGGCCUGGCUGUAGGAGAGUGCUGCAGGAAGCUGGAGAGGGCAGAUUCUCAUCUAUACAUUCAA